RNAcentral lists this long non-coding RNA (214 nucleotides) under Elaeis guineensis (African oil palm). RNAcentral's name for it is "long non-coding RNA (EGUI_LNC013524)". The record is from RNAcentral. Lineage: Eukaryota; Viridiplantae; Streptophyta; Magnoliopsida; Arecales; Arecaceae.
AAGAUAAAUAAAAAUAUUUUAAAAUAAAUACAAACUUAUUUCCAUCCUCAUCCUAUCUGCGUUAAUUAUCUUUGUUAAAUACUUUUUUGCCCCAUCUAUAUUAAUGGUUUGAUUUGUUAUAUUUUUAAAUUUAAAUUAAUAGAAAAGUGGCUGUUAACUUUUGUUUUGCUGUCCGGAGAUCCUUACAGAUUAGAGAGAUUGGAUAGUGAGAAAC